CUUGGGUGGCGAGUGGCGGACGGGUGAGGAAUACAUCGGAAUCUACUUUUUCGUGGGGGAUAACGUAGGGAAACUUACGCUAAUACCGCAUACGACCUACGGGUGAAAGCAGGGGACCUUCGGGCCUUGCGCGAUUGAAUGAGCCGAUGUCGGAUUAGCUAGUUGGCGGGGUAAAGGCCCACCAAGGCGACGAUCCGUAGCUGGUCUGAGAGGAUGAUCAGCCACACUGGAACUGAGACACGGUCCAGACUCCUACGGGAGGCAGCAGUGGGGAAUAUUGGACAAUGGGCGCAAGCCUGAUCCAGCCAUACCGCGUGGGUGAAGAAGGCCUUCGGGUUGUAAAGCCCUUUUGUUGGGAAAGAAAUCCAGCCGGCUAAUACCUGGUUGGGAUGACGGUACCCAAAGAAUAAGCACCGGCUAACUUCGUGCCAGCAGCCGCGGUAAUACGAAGGGUGCAAGCGUUACUCGGAAUUACUGGGCGUAAAGCGUGCGUAGGUGGUUGUUUAAGUCUGUUGUGAAAGCCCUGGGCUCAACCUGGGAACUGCAGUGGAAACUGGACAACUAGAGUGUGGUAGAGGGUAGCGGAAUUCCCGGUGUAGCAGUGAAAUGCGUAGAGAUCGGGAGGAACAUCCAUGGCGAAGGCAGCUACCUGGACCAACACUGACACUGAGGCACGAAAGCGUGGGGAGCAAACAGGAUU
Molecule: ribosomal RNA, 700 nt
Filed under: Stenotrophomonas sp.
Lineage: Bacteria; Pseudomonadati; Pseudomonadota; Gammaproteobacteria; Lysobacterales; Lysobacteraceae
Description: bacterial SSU rRNA
Rfam family: Bacterial small subunit ribosomal RNA
Source: RNAcentral